UUGACAUGCAAAAAGGCACCAAGUCCUUGACAUGGCAGAAGAAAGUGAUUUGCAGGAGGUGAAAGCGCACAAAGUAUGUUUUUAUGGAACAAAUUUCCUCAGUUAGAACGACCUCCAUAGAUUUACUGUGGCCAGUGGGAUGAUUUGUGUUCAAUUAAUUGGUACCUAAAAUUGAUGCACACUGUUGCCAUUUUUAUUCAUGAAAUACGAUGACAACGACCUCGAUCGUGUAACAGGGCCUACGCAAGAUAUCAUUCCAGCAGGUGUAAAAAUUAGUCGACUUUUCGCCAACACAUUAGGUGGAGGGCCGGGCGGCUGUCAAAAGGAAACAUCCUUGGUAUACCAGAGCACCCAGCGGAGAGGCUCACCAAAUUCCCAAACGAGCGCAUCAAGGCUCGUGUUGGCAGGAAAAGCAGGAUGCACCAGUUUUUGUGCCCUAUGUGUUUAUAUGCCAACAAGGAGUUUCACUGUACGCCAAUUGACACCGAAUCUGCUAGUCCUGUAUGCAUAUAGUCCAUGACAGGACUGGCAGACAGGAAACGCAUUAGGAAGACC
Molecule: long non-coding RNA, 555 nt
Organism: Hippocampus comes (tiger tail seahorse)
Lineage: Eukaryota; Metazoa; Chordata; Actinopteri; Syngnathiformes; Syngnathidae
Exons: 2
Source: RefSeq, a predicted model, not a curated record